Long non-coding RNA from Anguilla anguilla (European eel), 589 nucleotides. RefSeq lists it as uncharacterized. The transcript has 3 exons. The record is from RefSeq and is a predicted model, not a curated record. Lineage: Eukaryota; Metazoa; Chordata; Actinopteri; Anguilliformes; Anguillidae.
GAGUUGGUGUCUGGAGGAGUUGUCUCGUUCAAAUAACGACCAGUCAGAAAAUGCUCAAAAUAUAGAGGCAUAUGAUUUGGAGAUAAAACACAUUAAUGGUACUGCGAACAUCAUUGCUGACGCACUCAGCCGCGCGCUGGUUUAGCAUCGGUUUUCAGUGGUGUGGAGGGAGGUACAGAUGUUGGAGAGGACGUGGGAUUUGGCAAUAAAGUGCUGUUCGGACGUGACCAGUGAGCCUGGAUCACCAAUCUGGGGAAAGAAACCUUCCCUCGUUUUGCCUUCUCCCUUUUUCUCUCUCUCCCGCUGUCAGGCUGUACAUCCAAGCACGCGUUUUUAGUGCAUUACAGUCUGGCGAUUGGGAGUGAGUCUUCGUGAGUGACACAUAGCCUAACAUACCCCAUACCAUGUUUACAUUUGUUGGUAUUUGGUUUGUUUUUUGAAGUUAAAAUAAAUUAGUUUGUUAUUGUUUCAAACUGGUGGUGGUCUCCCCUUUUAUGUCGUGGUCAUACGAGCCUGACUGUGACACACACACAAACACACUCUUGAAACCUUGAAAAGCUGUAUUUGAAACAGCUGAUUCAUUCAUAAU